RNAcentral lists this long non-coding RNA (667 nucleotides) under Nicotiana benthamiana. Its description in RNAcentral is "long non-coding RNA (NBEN_LNC012386)". The record is from RNAcentral. Lineage: Eukaryota; Viridiplantae; Streptophyta; Magnoliopsida; Solanales; Solanaceae.
CGCACUUGCCCAAGUAUUACGAUAUAUGUAUUGUCGUGAAGUCCAUCUGAUGGUUCGAUCUCGAUAGUGGCCGAGAUAUAUAUAUAUUACUCUUCCGCACUUGCCCAAGUAUUACCAUAUAUAUGUAUUGUCGUGAAGUCCAUCUGAUGGUUCGAUCUCGAUAGUGGCCUAGAUAAUCGUCGCCAUUACACCUAGUGGGUACGGCUAUGGCUUGGUCAACCCCUUGCCAUUCCUUUUAAUGAUAACCUACUUGAGAUCAGAUUUUGACCCAUACAACUAGCUACUUGCUGCCUAGGGGUAAGAGAACCAAACAGUUGAGAAGGAAUCCUAUUUAUCUAAAACGGAGAAGAACUAAUUAAUUGAGGAUGGGAAAAAAACAUUGAGGAGAACGCGAUGGUAAUUGAAGAUGUGAAAUGAAAUUAUAAUCAUGUGAAAGAAGGUACUUUGAGGAGGUACUUAUCUAAGAAGGAACCCAAGCAAAAUAACCAUGAAGGUUUGAAACAGGAAAAAAAAACAAGGAGCAAGAGAAAAACGAUUGAGAAACCAAGGGAAUAGAUAGCUUAAAAAUUAGGUUAUGUGCGAGUAAAUUUUGAAGGAAAAGGUAGAGUAAUUCUUUUGUGACAAUUAAGAGGUGUUAUAAAUGGUAUAAAUAGGAUUCUUAUUCUUG